UGUGCCCUUCCGGUCUUGGUUAAUGGAUGGAUAGAAGUCUACCAUGUCGAAGGAUAUUAAGGUCGUCAAUCGGUGGAGGGUUUUUACUGCUCUUGAAGCCAUAGGUAUCUUUAUAAGUGAUGGUAGUAUUCGGAUUCAGGAGGAAGUAAGCUUUCCAGCGCAUAUUACGAAGGAAGGUCUCAGAUUUUUCAAUAAGUCGUUGUAAGUAUUCAUUCGGUGAUGGUGAAAGAAUGUUCUUGAAGCUGUAGUUGAAGUUGAAUUUCUCCAUUGCGGAUUAUCGUAGAGUGCUUGACAAAAUUUUUUCUUGAAGCGUAAUAGGAAGUUAUAAACAAAUAAUCAACAAUCAUAACAAACAUAUACUGAGAGCAUCAGACAAA
Xenia sp. Carnegie-2017 is the source of this 377-nucleotide long non-coding RNA. RefSeq lists it as uncharacterized. The record is from RefSeq and is a predicted model, not a curated record. The transcript has 3 exons. Lineage: Eukaryota; Metazoa; Cnidaria; Anthozoa; Malacalcyonacea; Xeniidae.